UACGUAGGCAGCAAGCGUUGUUCAGAGUUACUGGGCGUAAAGGGGGCGUAGGCGGCUUUUUAAGUUUGGUGUGAAAUCUCCCGGCUCAACUGGGAGGGUGCGCCGAAUACUGAGAGGCUAGAGUGCGGGAGAGGAAAGUGGAAUUCCUGGUGUAGCGGUGAAAUGCGUAGAUAUCAGGAGGAACACCGGUGGUGUAAACGGCUUUCUGGACCGUAACUGACGCUGAGGCACGAAAGCGUGGGUAGCAAACAGG
RNAcentral lists this ribosomal RNA (253 nucleotides) under uncultured bacterium. RNAcentral's name for it is "partial 16S ribosomal RNA". It matches the Rfam family "Bacterial small subunit ribosomal RNA", at positions 524 to 776 of the family's 1533-position model. The record is from RNAcentral.